This 492-nucleotide ribosomal RNA is filed under the name uncultured bacterium. RNAcentral's name for it is "partial 16S ribosomal RNA". It matches the Rfam family "Bacterial small subunit ribosomal RNA", at positions 29 to 507 of the family's 1533-position model. The record is from RNAcentral.
AGUGAACGCUGGCGGUAGGCCUAACACAUGCAAGUCGAACGGCAGCACAGUAAGAGCUUGCUCUUACGGGUGGCGAGUGGCGGACGGGUGAGGAAUACAUCGGAAUCUACUUUUUCGUGGGUGUUAACGUAGGGAAACUUACGCUAAUACCGCAUAUGACCUUCUGGUGAAAGCAGGGGAUCUUCGGACCUUGCGCGAUUGAAUGAGCCGAUGUCGGAUUAGCUAGUUGGCGGGGUAAUGGCCCACCAAGGCGACGAUCCGUAGCUGGUCUGAGAGGAUGAUCCGGCACACAGAGACUGAGACACGGUCCAGACUCCUACGGGAGGCAGCAGUGGGGAAUAGCGGACGAUGGGCGCAAGCCUGAUCCAGCCAUACCGCGUGGGUGCAGAAGGCCUUCGGGUUGUGAAGCCCUUUUGUUGGGAGAGAAAAGCAGCAGGUUAAUACCCCGCUGUUCUGACGGUACCCAAAGAAUAAGCACCGGCUAACUUCGUG